GGCGUCCCAGCCGCACCGCUCUUCCCUCUGAACUCUUUCAAACUUCAUCAAAGGGRAACAAGCGGCGCGAGGAGGAGGCAGGAACACAAGAAAAAUGAUAAAAGAGUAGAAAGAGGGAGCGAACAAACCCCGUCUUCCUAAUGACAUCCCCAUGAGGGAUCAGCUACAGAGCGCUCACACCCUCAGCUUUCGUUCUGGCUCUGGUUUCCACUUUCACACACCGCAAAGACUCCAUGAUCCAACCUGAGCUACCCACACGCAGCAGAUUGGCUUCCCCGGCUGUCCGGGCCCAGGUUUAUCUGUCGGCCAUGCUGGGAGCUUCGACACAACGCGGCCAGAUGGAGGGAGGGAAGGAAAGGAGGCAGCGAGGGGAAGGCUGGCUCUGCUGCUCUGAGAAUUACUCCCAAUAACUGUUUGAUGUAGCAGAGAGAAGAGGGUGAAGAACAGAGAACUGGUUGUUCUUUCACAGCACAUUAUCAGUUAAUUAAAGCU
Molecule: non-coding RNA, 492 nt
Organism: Poecilia reticulata (guppy)
Lineage: Eukaryota; Metazoa; Chordata; Actinopteri; Cyprinodontiformes; Poeciliidae
Source: RefSeq, a predicted model, not a curated record